ACAGUGGACGCGAGCAUCUGUGGCCAAGUUUUUAAGGGCGCACGGUGGAUGCCUUGGCACCAGGAACCGAUGAAGGACGUGGGAGGCCACGAUAGGCCCCGGGGAGUCGUCAACCAGGCUUUGAUCCGGGGGUGUCCGAAUGGGGAAACCCGGCAGUCGUCAUGGGCUGUCACCCGCUGCUGAACACAUAGGCAGUGUGGAGGGAACGCGGGGAAGUGAAACAUCUCAGUACCCGCAGG
Molecule: ribosomal RNA, 239 nt
Filed under: Streptomyces leeuwenhoekii
Lineage: Bacteria; Bacillati; Actinomycetota; Actinomycetes; Kitasatosporales; Streptomycetaceae
Description: partial 23S ribosomal RNA
Rfam family: Bacterial large subunit ribosomal RNA
Source: RNAcentral